GGAUUAGAUACCCUGGUAGUCCACGCCCUAAACGAUGUCUACUAGUUGUUGGUGGAGUAAAAUCCAUGAGUAACGCAGCUAACGCGUGAAGUAGACCGCCUGGGGAGUACGGUCGCAAGAUUAAAACUCAAAGGAAUUGACGGGGGCCCGCACAAGCGGUGGAUUAUGUGGAUUAAUUCGAUGCAACGCGAAAAACCUUACCUGGCCUUGACAUGCCACUAACGAAGCAGAGAUGCAUUAGGUGCCCGUAAGGGAAAGUGGACACAGGUGCUGCAUGGCUGUCGUCAGCUCGUGCC
Molecule: ribosomal RNA, 296 nt
Filed under: uncultured bacterium
Lineage: Bacteria
Description: partial 16S ribosomal RNA
Rfam family: Bacterial small subunit ribosomal RNA
Source: RNAcentral